Molecule: unclassified non-coding RNA, 826 nt
Filed under: Hevea brasiliensis (rubber tree)
Lineage: Eukaryota; Viridiplantae; Streptophyta; Magnoliopsida; Malpighiales; Euphorbiaceae
Source: RNAcentral
ACAAAUCUGAACGGCCGGAAUUAGGGUUUUUGUAGUAAGAGGAGUAAAUUGACUAUCCGUUCCGGUCGAUCGGAGAAAUUUCUGAGUAAUGGCGAACGAGAAGGUGGAAUUUCAAGUGUACAAUUCAAUGACGAGACAGAAGGAAGUAUUCAUACCGAAGGAACCUGGCAAGGUCAAAAUGUACGUUUGUGGCGUUACGAGUUACGAUUACAGUCAUAUCGGCCAUGCUCGUGCCUAUGUCGCUUUCGACCUUCUCUACAGAUAUCUGAAAUACUUGGGAUAUGAGGUUAUGUAUGUGCGCAACUUCACCGAUGUAGACGACAAGAUAAUUCGUAGGGCUAAUGAGCUUGGAGAAGAUCCAACAGCUCUGAGUGGUCGAUACUGCCAAGAGUUUCUAAAAGACAUGGAUGAUCUCCAGUGCCUCCAACCGACUCAUCAGCCACGUGUUACUGAGCACAUGGAGCAGAUUAAGGAAAUGAUAGCUAAGAUUAUGGCUAAUGGCUGUGCAUACACAAUCAAUGGAGAUGUUUAUUUCUCUGUUGAUAGUUUUCCAGAGUAUGGUCGAUUGUCCGGACGAAAAUUAGAAGAUAAUCGAGCUGGAGAACGAGUUGAAGUUGAUUCAAGAAAGAAAAAUCCUGCCGACUUUGCCUUGUGGAAGUCUGCAAAGCCUGGUGAACCAAGUUGGGAGAGCCCCUGGGGUCCUGGAAGACCAGGUUGGCAUAUAGAAUGCAGUGCAAUGAGUGCGCACUACCUGACACAUUCCUUUGAUAUACAUGGUGGUGGAAUGGACUUGACUUUUCCUCACCAUGAAAAUGAGAUUGCCCAG